RNAcentral lists this unclassified non-coding RNA (432 nucleotides) under Hevea brasiliensis (rubber tree). The record is from RNAcentral. Lineage: Eukaryota; Viridiplantae; Streptophyta; Magnoliopsida; Malpighiales; Euphorbiaceae.
UGGUAGUGCUUCGUUGAGUGAGAUGAUGAGUGAGUGCUCCCAGCUUGUUAAAGUUUCUUUGGAAGAGCGAUUGCAGACAGAGACGACGAUCAGGGAGCUCCAACUACAGAUUGAAGCUCUUAAUGGGAAAGUUCAGGUGGAACAGAACGUUGAGCUUAUUGCAGAUAGGAUGUUAGGUUCUCUUAGCAUGGUGAUUAAUCAAGAAGAGUUGUUGGAUUACCCUGUUAUGGGGAAGAUUGCUCAUGUUGAGAGAAAUACUUCUUUGUUAGUGGAACAGUAUAGAUGGUUUCUCUAUGAAGUUGAUCAACUUAGGCAGUGUUUGUUAGGAGGGUUUAAUGUUGGGGUUCAAGAGGAGUUUGGAUACGGGUCAGUUUUUGGUGUUGCCCGUGGCGAGUUGCUGGAGCUCAAGAAAAAAGAAGAAGAGAUGCCGGA